GUAGGCGCAAAUCGCCACGUAAACUGUUAUUAUAUUAUUGUAGGCGCAAUCGCCACGUAAACUGUUAUUAUAUUAUUGUCAAGGCGCGAAUCACCAAAAUUAUUAUUGUUAUUAUAUUUUUUUAUCUUGUGUGUGUGUGAAACUUUAUUUUUAUUAUAUAGCUAGGACCAGCUGGCCAGACUGCGCUCCACAACUUUUUAAUGACAUACAGCAUUAUUCAAACCGGCUAUUAACCAUCGGCAGAAUAACUGAUAUUUAUCGAGAGACAACGAAGCGGACGUUACUCGCAGUACAGAGUUUUGCUAUUGAUUUCAAGAAAAAUACACUUAUCUCCAAAAUGCCCG
Molecule: long non-coding RNA, 344 nt
Organism: Metopolophium dirhodum (rose-grain aphid)
Lineage: Eukaryota; Metazoa; Arthropoda; Insecta; Hemiptera; Aphididae
Exons: 3
Source: RefSeq, a predicted model, not a curated record